This 634-nucleotide ribosomal RNA is filed under the name uncultured Marinobacter sp. Its description in RNAcentral is "bacterial SSU rRNA". It matches the Rfam family "Bacterial small subunit ribosomal RNA", at positions 870 to 1504 of the family's 1533-position model. The record is from RNAcentral. Lineage: Bacteria; Pseudomonadati; Pseudomonadota; Gammaproteobacteria; Pseudomonadales; Marinobacteraceae.
CGCCUGGGGAGUACGGCCGCAAGGUUAAAACUCAAAUGAAUUGACGGGGGCCCGCACAAGCGGUGGAGCAUGUGGUUUAAUUCGACGCAACGCGAAGAACCUUACCUGGCCUUGACAUCCAGAGAACUUUCCAGAGAUGGAUUGGUGCCUUCGGGAACUCUGAGACAGGUGCUGCAUGGCCGUCGUCAGCUCGUGUCGUGAGAUGUUGGGUUAAGUCCCGUAACGAGCGCAACCCCUAUCCCUGGUUGCUAGCAGGUAAUGCUGAGAACUCCAGGGAGACUGCCGGUGACAAACCGGAGGAAGGUGGGGAUGACGUCAGGUCAUCAUGGCCCUUACGGCCAGGGCUACACACGUGCUACAAUGGCGCGUACAGAGGGCUGCCAACUCGCGAGAGUGAGCCAAUCCCUUAAAACGCGUCGUAGUCCGGAUCGGAGUCUGCAACUCGACUCCGUGAAGUCGGAAUCGCUAGUAAUCGCGAAUCAGAAUGUCGCGGUGAAUACGUUCCCGGGCCUUGUACACGCCGCCCGUCACACCAUGGGAGUGGAUGCACCAGAAGUAGUUAGUCUAACCUUCGGGAGGACGAUUACCACGGUGUGGUUCAUGACUGGGGUGAAGUCGUAACAAGGUAACCGUA